RNAcentral lists this long non-coding RNA (363 nucleotides) under Anser brachyrhynchus (Pink-footed goose). RNAcentral describes it as "lncRNA (ENSABRG00000002872.1)". Lineage: Eukaryota; Metazoa; Chordata; Aves; Anseriformes; Anatidae. The record is from RNAcentral.
AAAUAUUACCACAAAUCUCCUCCCGACUUCAACCAUAUUAAUUUAGGCUAAUAGGAUAUAUUAUUAACAGGAAAAGUAACAGGAAAGCAUUGGAGGCUGGCGUGUCAGAAGUGGGAGAUAAACCAUGAUGUUCUGUCUGCUGGAUGAACAGAAAGAAUCUGGACUGCAAACAGCAAGGAGGAGGCAACUGGAGAGCCCACGCUGCAUGGCAGAAGGGGAAAGCAGCCUGAGAACGAAGGGCGUUCAAGGUCUCGAAACCACAUCCUCCCUCCUCUUGAUGUGAUCGAUCACUGAUGAGACAGCGCCUGGAACAGCACUGGACAGCUAUGAAGACAGAGCGAGCGGCCUGUCGGUCAGUGGUCA